This 497-nucleotide ribosomal RNA is filed under the name uncultured bacterium. Its description in RNAcentral is "partial 16S ribosomal RNA". It matches the Rfam family "Bacterial small subunit ribosomal RNA", at positions 28 to 507 of the family's 1533-position model. The record is from RNAcentral.
GAUGAACGCUGGCGGCGUGCCUAAUACAUGCAAGUCGAGCGAACAGAUGAGGAGCUUGCUCCUCUGACGUUAGCGGCGGACGGGUGAGUAACACGUGGAUAACCUACCUAUAAGACUGGGAUAACUUCGGGAAACCGGAGCUAAUACCGGAUAAUAUAUUGAACCGCAUGGUUCAAUAGUUAAAGACGGUUUUGCUGUCACUUAUAGAUGGAUCCGCGCCGCAUUAGCUAGUUGGUAAGGUAACGGCUUACCAAGGCAACGAUGCGUAGCCGACCUGAGAGGGUGAUCGGCCACACUGGAACUGAGACACGGUCCAGACUCCUACGGGAGGCAGCAGUAGGGAAUCUUCCGCAAUGGGCGAAAGCUUGACGGAGCAACGCCGCGUGAGUGAUGAAGGUCUUCGGAUCGUAAAACUCUGUUAUUAGGGAAGAACAAAUGUGUAAGUAACUAUGCACGUCUUGACGGUACCUAAUCAGAAAGCCACGGCUAACUACGUG